Molecule: non-coding RNA, 83 nt
Organism: Tephrocybe sp. NHM501043
Lineage: Eukaryota; Fungi; Basidiomycota; Agaricomycetes; Agaricales; Lyophyllaceae
Source: the annotation of a GenBank genome assembly
GGGACUGUGCUCUAGUGGUAAGAUUGAUCACUGUUGUGAUUGUGACUUGAUCUAGGGUAUGGGUUCAACUCCUGAUGGUCCCA